This 254-nucleotide ribosomal RNA is filed under the name uncultured bacterium. RNAcentral describes it as "partial 16S ribosomal RNA". It matches the Rfam family "Bacterial small subunit ribosomal RNA", at positions 524 to 776 of the family's 1533-position model. The record is from RNAcentral.
UACGUAGGAGGCGAGCGUUGUCCGGAAUUACUGGGCGUAAAGCGCGCAUAGGCGGCGCGGUACGACCGCUGUGAAAGCCCCCGGCUCAACUGGGGAGGGUCAGUGGUAACGGCCGUGCUAAGAGUGCAGGAGAGGGAAGUGGAACUCCGGGAGUAGCGGUGAAAUGCGUAGAGACCCGGAGGAACACCAGUGGCGAAGGCGGCUUCCUGGUCUGCGACUGACGCUGAGGCGCGAAAGCUAGGGGAGCGAACGGG